Molecule: ribosomal RNA, 504 nt
Filed under: uncultured bacterium
Lineage: Bacteria
Description: bacterial SSU rRNA
Rfam family: Bacterial small subunit ribosomal RNA
Source: RNAcentral
GAACCUGAGAGUUUGAUCUUGGCUCAGGACGAACGCUGGCGGCGUGCUUAACACAUGCAAGUCGAGCGGUAAGGCCCUUUCGGGGGUACACGAGCGGCGAACGGGUGAGUAACACGUGGGUGACCUGCCCUCAGCUCUGGGAUAAGCCUGGGAAACCGGGUCUAAUACCGGAUAUGACUCCAUGACGCAUGUUGUGGGGUGGAAAGCCUUGUGCGGCUGAGGAUGGGGCCCGCGGCCUAUCAGCUUGUUGGUGGGGUGAUGGCCUACCAAGGCGACGACGGGUAGCCGGCCUGAGAGGGCGACCGGCCACACUGGGACUGAGACACGGCCCAGACUCCUACGGGAGGCAGCAGUGGGGAAUCUUGCGCAAUGGGCGAAAGCCUGACCCAGCAACGCCGCGUGAAGGAUGAAGUAUUUCGGUAUGUAAACUUCGAAAGAAUAGGAAGAAUAAAUGACGGUACUAUUUAUAAGGUCCGGCUAACUACGUGCCAGCCGCCGCGGUAA